RNAcentral lists this long non-coding RNA (320 nucleotides) under Oncorhynchus mykiss (rainbow trout). RNAcentral describes it as "lncRNA (ENSOMYG00000062450.1)". The record is from RNAcentral. Lineage: Eukaryota; Metazoa; Chordata; Actinopteri; Salmoniformes; Salmonidae.
CCCCACCGCACCACCACGACUGGUCUGCCGACGAAUACUCCAUCCGCUGUGCCUUCAACCGGCCUCCGUCGGAGGGCUACUAACUUUAAACGCAGUGUAGCCCGCGUGCUAGCGUAAUGGCGCCUUCCCUGUACCAUCUACUGCUGCCUUCUGGACACUGUUAUCACUUGGCUACAUAGCUGAUGCCUGCUGGACUGUCGAUUAAUCACGAGCGUGAAAUGGGAGGAUCCCCCGGAUGACCAAAAUAAAGUCGUGGAGAACAUGAAGGAUGAAACAGAGACACAUGAGACCAACAAGAACAGGACAGGAGGCAAGGUAAG